GACGAACGCUGGCGGCGUGCUUAACACAUGCAAGUCGAACGGAAAGGCCCUGCUUUUGUGGGGUGCUCGAGUGGCGAACGGGUGAGUAACACGUGAGUAACCUGCCCUUGACUUUGGGAUAACUUCAGGAAACUGGGGCUAAUACCGGAUAGGAGCUCCUGCUGCAUGGUGGGGGUUGGAAAGUUUCGGCGGGUGGGGAUGGACGCGCGGCUUAUCAGCUUGUUGGUGGGGUAGUGGCUUACCAAGGCUUUGACGGGUAGCCGGCCUGAGAGGGUGACCGGCCACCUUGGGCCUGCGGUACGGCCCAGACUCCUACGUGAGGCAGCAGUGGGGAAUAUUGCACAGUGGGCCGAAGCCUGAUGCAGCAACGCCGCGUGCGGGAUGACGGCCUUCGGGUUGUAAACCGCUUUCGCCUGUGACGAAGCGUGAGUGACGGUAAUGGGUAAAGAAGCACCGGCUAACUACGUG
This 468-nucleotide ribosomal RNA is filed under the name uncultured bacterium. Its description in RNAcentral is "partial 16S ribosomal RNA". It matches the Rfam family "Bacterial small subunit ribosomal RNA", at positions 28 to 507 of the family's 1533-position model. The record is from RNAcentral.